RNAcentral lists this ribosomal RNA (484 nucleotides) under uncultured bacterium. RNAcentral's name for it is "bacterial SSU rRNA". It matches the Rfam family "Bacterial small subunit ribosomal RNA", at positions 36 to 507 of the family's 1533-position model. The record is from RNAcentral.
CUAGCGACAGGCCUAACACGAUGGCAAGUCGAGGGGCAGCGGGGAUGAAGCUUGCUUCAUCUGCCGGCGACCGGCGCACGGGUGAGUAACACGUAUGCAACCUGCCCGCCACAGGGGGAUAAACGCUGGAAACGGCGCCUAAUACCCCCAUACUAUCGCUAUGCUGCAUGGCAUGGCGAUGAAAACUCCGGUGGUGGCGGAUAGGCUCGCGUGACAUUAGCUAGAUGGCGGGGUAACGGCCCACCAUGGCUACGAUGUCUAGGGGUUCUGAGAGGAAGGUCCCCCACACUGGAACUGAGACACGGUCCAGACUCCUACGGGAGGCAGCAGUGAGGAAUAUUGGUCAAUGGUCUGACGACUGAACCAGCCAUGCCGCGUGAAGGUGACGGCCCUAUGGGUCUUAAACUUCUUUUGUAAGGGAGCAAUAAGGUGCACGUGUGCAUCGAUGAGAGUACCUUACGAAUAAGCAUCGGCUAACUCCGUG